RNAcentral lists this ribosomal RNA (1370 nucleotides) under uncultured bacterium. Its description in RNAcentral is "bacterial SSU rRNA". It matches the Rfam family "Bacterial small subunit ribosomal RNA". The record is from RNAcentral.
AGAGUUUGAUCCUGGCUCAGAACGCAUGCUGGCGGCGUGGAUAAGACAUGCAAGUCGAACGAGAGAAUUGCUAGCUUGCUAAUAAUUCUCUAGUGGCGCACGGGUGAGUAACACGUGAGUAACCUGCCCCCGAGAGCGGGAUAGCCCUGGGAAACUGGGAUUAAUACCGCAUAGUAUCGAAAGAUUAAAGCAGCAAUGCGCUUGGGGAUGGGCUCGCGGCCUAUUAGUUAGUUGGUGAGGUAACGGCUCACCAAGGCGAUGACGGGUAGCCGGUCUGAGAGGAUGUCCGGCCACACUGGAACUGAGACACGGUCCAGACACCUACGGGUGGCAGCAGUCGAGAAUCAUUCACAAUGGGGGAAACCCUGAUGGUGCGACGCCGCGUGGGGGAAUGAAGGUCUUCGGAUUGUAAACCCCUGUCAUGUGGGAGCAAAUUAAAAAGAUAGUACCACAAGAGGAAGAGACGGCUAACUCUGUGCCAGCAGCCGCGGUAAUACAGAGGUCUCAAGCGUUGUUCGGAAUCACUGGGCGUAAAGCGUGCGUAGGCUGUUUCGUAAGUCGUGUGUGAAAGGCGCGGGCUCAACCCGCGGACGGCACAUGAUACUGCGAGACUAGAGUAAUGGAGGGGGAACCGGAAUUCUCGGUGUAGCAGUGAAAUGCGUAGAUAUCGAGAGGAACACUCGUGGCGAAGGCGGGUUCCUGGACAUUAACUGACGCUGAGGCACGAAGGCCAGGGGAGCGAAAGGGAUUAGAUACCCCUGUAGUCCUGGCAGUAAACGGUGCACGCUUGGUGUGCGGGGAAUCGACCCCCUGCGUGCCGGAGCUAACGCGUUAAGCGUGCCGCCUGGGGAGUACGGUCGCAAGAUUAAAACUCAAAGAAAUUGACGGGGACCCGCACAAGCGGUGGAGUAUGUGGCUUAAUUCGAUGCAACGCGAAGAACCUUACCUGGGCUUGACAUGUAAUGAACAACAUGUGAAAGCAUGCGACUCUUCGGAGGCGUUACACAGGUGCUGCAUGGCCGUCGUCAGCUCGUGUCGUGAGAUGUUUGGUUAAGUCCAGCAACGAGCGCAACCCCUGUUGCCAGUUACCAGCACGUGAAGGUGGGGACUCUGGCGAGACUGCCCAGAUCAACUGGGAGGAAGGUGGGGACGACGUCAGGUCAGUAUGGCCCUUAUGCCCAGGGCUGCACACGUACUACAAUGCCCAGUACAGAGGGGGCCGAAGCCGCGAGGCGGAGGAAAUCCUAAAAACUGGGCCCAGUUCGGACUGUAGGCUGCAACCCGCCUACACGAAGCCGGAAUCGCUAGUAAUGGCGCAUCAGCUACGGCGCCGUGAAUACGUUCCCGGGUCUUGCACUCAACGCCCGUCA